Molecule: ribosomal RNA, 488 nt
Filed under: uncultured bacterium
Lineage: Bacteria
Description: bacterial SSU rRNA
Rfam family: Bacterial small subunit ribosomal RNA
Source: RNAcentral
AUUGAACGCUGGCGGCAGGCCUAACACAUGCAAGUCGAGCGGAUGAAGGGAGCUUGCUCUCUGAUUCAGCGGCGGACGGGUGAGUAAUGCCUAGGAAUCUGCCUGGUAGUGGGGGACAACGUUCCGAAAGGAGCGCUAAUACCGCAUACGUCCUACGGGAGAAAGUGGGGGAUCUUCGGACCUCACGCUAUCAGAUGAGCCUAGGUCGGAUUAGCUAGUAGGUGGGGUAAUGGCUCACCUAGGCGACGAUCCGUAACUGGUCUGAGAGGAUGAUCAGUCACACUGGAACUGAGACACGGUCCAGACUCCUACGGGAGGCAGCAGUGGGGAAUAUUGGACAAUGGGCGAAAGCCUGAUCCAGCCAUGCCGCGUGUGUGAAGAAGGUCUUCGGAUUGUAAAGCACUUUAAGUUGGGAGGAAGGGCAGUAAGUUAAUACCUUGCUGUUUUGACGUUACCAACAGAAUAAGCACCGGCUAACUUCGUGCCAG